UAUGGGGGAUGCAAGCGUUAUCCGGAAUCAUUGGGCGUAAAGCGCCUGUAGGUUGUUUAAUAAGUCUGUUGUUAAAGACUGGGGCUUAACCCCAGGAAAGCAAUGGAAACUACUAGACUAGAGUAUGGUAGGGGUAAAGGGAAUUUCUAGUGUAGCGGUGAAAUGCGUAGAUAUUAGAAAGAACACCGGCGGCGAAAGCGCUCUACUGGACCAUUACUGACACUCAGAGGCGAAAGCUAGGGGAGCAAAAGGGAUUAGAUACCCCUGUAGUCCUAGCCGUAAACGAUGGAUACUAGAUGUUGCGCAAUUUGUGCAGUAUCUUAGCUAACGCGUUAAGUAUCCCGCCUGGGGAGUACGCUCGCAAGGGUG
This 369-nucleotide ribosomal RNA is filed under the name uncultured phototrophic eukaryote. RNAcentral's name for it is "SSU rRNA". It matches the Rfam family "Bacterial small subunit ribosomal RNA", at positions 524 to 896 of the family's 1533-position model. The record is from RNAcentral.